ACGCAAUAAGUAGACCGCGGGGGGAGUACGGCCGCAAGGUUAAAACUCAAAUGAAUUGACGGGGGCCCGCACAAGCGGUGGAGCAUGUGGUAUAAUUCGAUGCAACGCGAAGAACCUUACCUACUCUUGACAUACAGAGAAUUUACCAGAGAUGCUUUGGUGCCUUCGGGAACUCUGAUACAGGUGCUGCAUGGCUGUCGUCAGCUCGUGUUGUGAGAAUGUUGGGUUAAGUCCCGCAACGAGCGCAACCCCUAUCCUUAGUUGCCAGCGAUU
This 273-nucleotide ribosomal RNA is filed under the name Pseudoalteromonas shioyasakiensis. Its description in RNAcentral is "partial 16S ribosomal RNA". It matches the Rfam family "Bacterial small subunit ribosomal RNA", at positions 855 to 1126 of the family's 1533-position model. The record is from RNAcentral. Lineage: Bacteria; Pseudomonadati; Pseudomonadota; Gammaproteobacteria; Alteromonadales; Pseudoalteromonadaceae.